This 426-nucleotide ribosomal RNA is filed under the name uncultured bacterium. RNAcentral describes it as "bacterial SSU rRNA". It matches the Rfam family "Bacterial small subunit ribosomal RNA", at positions 354 to 796 of the family's 1533-position model. The record is from RNAcentral.
GCAAGGAAUCUUCCGCAAUGGGCGAAAGCCUGACGGAGCAACGCCGCGUGGGUGACGAAGCCCUUCGGGGUGUAAAGCCCUUUUCUGGGGGAAGAAAAAUGACGGUACCCCAGGAAUAAGCAUCGGCUAACUACGUGCCAGCAGCCGCGGUAAUACGUAGGAUGCAAGCGUUGUCCGGAAUUACUGGGCGUAAAGAGCGCGCAGGUGGUGCUUUAAGUUAGGCGUGAAAGCUCCCGGCUCAACUGGGAAGGGUCGUCUAAAACUGGGGCACUGGAGGGCAGGAGAGGAAAGUGGAAUUCCCGGUGUAGUGGUGAAAUGCGUAGAUAUCGGGAGGAACACCAGUGGCGAAGGCGGCUUUCUGGCCUGCCCCUGACGCUGAGGCGCGAAGGCUAGGGGAGCGAACGGGAUUAGAAACCCGUGUAGUCC